RNAcentral lists this ribosomal RNA (342 nucleotides) under Pseudomonas sp. LEM_CA-15. RNAcentral's name for it is "bacterial SSU rRNA". It matches the Rfam family "Bacterial small subunit ribosomal RNA", at positions 837 to 1181 of the family's 1533-position model. The record is from RNAcentral. Lineage: Bacteria; Pseudomonadati; Pseudomonadota; Gammaproteobacteria; Pseudomonadales; Pseudomonadaceae.
AUUUAAGUGGCGAGCAACGCAUUAAGUUGACCGCCUGGGGAGUACGGCCGCAAGGUUAAAACUCAAAGUGAAUGACGGGGGCCCGCACAAGCGGUGGAGCAUGUGGUUAAUUCGAAGCAACGCGAAGAACCUUACCAGGCCUGGACAUGCAGAGAACUUUCCAGAGAUGGAUUGGUGCCUUCGGGAACUCUGACACAGGUGCUGCAUGGCGUGUCAGCUCGUGUCGUGAGAUGUUGGGUUAAGUCCCGUAACGAGCGCAACCCUUGUCCUUAGUUACCAGCACGUUAAGGUGGGCACUCUAAGGAGACUGCCGGUGACAAACCGGAGGAAGGUGGGGGGAUG